GACGAACGCUGGCGGCGUGCUUAACACAUGCAAGUCGAACGGAAAGGCCCUGCUUUUGUGGGGUGCUCGAGUGGCGAACGGGUGAGUAACACGUGAGUAACCUGCCCUUGACUUUGGGAUAACUUCAGGAAACUGGGGCUAAUACCGGAUAUGAGCUCCUGCUGCAUGGUGGUGGUUGGAAAGUUUCGGCGGUUGGGGAUGGACUCGCGGCUUAUCAGCUUGUUGGUGGGGUAGUGGCUUACCAAGGCUUUGACGGGUAGCCGGCCUGAGAGGGUGACCGGCGACAUUGGGACUGAGAGACGGACCAGAAUCCUACGGGAGGCAGCAGUGGGGAAUAUUGCACAAUGGGCGGAAGCCUGAUGCAGCAACGCCGCGUGCGGGAUGACGGCCUUCGGGUUGUAAACCGCUUUCGCAUGUGACGAAGCGUGAGUGACGGUAAUGGGUAAAGAAGCAACGGCUAACUACGUG
This 468-nucleotide ribosomal RNA is filed under the name uncultured bacterium. RNAcentral's name for it is "partial 16S ribosomal RNA". It matches the Rfam family "Bacterial small subunit ribosomal RNA", at positions 28 to 507 of the family's 1533-position model. The record is from RNAcentral.